RNAcentral lists this ribosomal RNA (467 nucleotides) under uncultured bacterium. Its description in RNAcentral is "partial 16S ribosomal RNA". It matches the Rfam family "Bacterial small subunit ribosomal RNA", at positions 28 to 507 of the family's 1533-position model. The record is from RNAcentral.
GACGAACGCUGGCGGCGUGCUUAACACAUGCAAGUCGAACGGAAAGGCCCUGCUUUUGUGGGGUGCUCGAGUGGCGAACGGGUGAGUAACACGUGAGUAACCUGCCCUUGACUUUGGGAUACCUCAGGAAAACGGGGCCAAUAACGGAUAGGAGCUCCUGCUGCAUGGGGGGGGGUGGAAAGUUUCGGCGGUUGGGGAUGGACUCGCGGCUUAUCAGCUUGUUGGUGGGGUAGUGGCUUACCAAGGCUUUGACGGGUAGCCGGCCUGAGAGGGUGACCGGCCACAUUGGGACUGAGAUACGGCCCAGACUCCUACGGGAGGCAGCAGUGGGGAAUAUUGCACAAUGGGCGGAAGCCUGAUGCAGCAACGCCGCGUGCGGGAUGACGGCCUUCGGGUUGUAAACCGCUUUCGCCUGUGACGAAGCGUGAGUGACGGUAAUGGGUAAAGAAGCACCGGCUAACUACGUG